This 440-nucleotide ribosomal RNA is filed under the name uncultured bacterium. RNAcentral describes it as "partial 16S ribosomal RNA". It matches the Rfam family "Bacterial small subunit ribosomal RNA", at positions 338 to 795 of the family's 1533-position model. The record is from RNAcentral.
CCUACGGGAGGCAGCAGUGGGGAAUAUUGCACAAUGGGGGGAACCCUGAUGCAGCGACGCCGCGUGAGUGAAGAAGUAUUUCGGUAUGUAAAGCUCUAUCAGCAGGGAAGAAAAUGACGGUACCUGACUAAGAAGCACCGGCUAACUACGUGCCAGCAGCCGCGGUAAUACGUAGGGGGCAAGCGUUAGCCGGAUUUACUGGGUGUAAAGGGAGCGCAGACGGCUGUGCAAGUCUGGAGUGAAAGGCGGGGGCCCAACCCCCGGACUGCUCUGGAAACUGUAAAGCUGGAGUGCAGGAGAGGUAAGUGGAAUUCCUAGUGUAGCGGUGAAAUACGUAGAUAUUAGGAGGAACACCAGUGGCGAAGGCGGCUUACUGGACUGCAACUGACGCUGAAGCACGAAAGCGUGGGUAUCGAACAGGAUUAGAUACCCGAGUAGUC